This is a long non-coding RNA of Acanthopagrus latus (yellowfin seabream), 243 nucleotides long. RefSeq lists it as uncharacterized. The transcript has 3 exons. Lineage: Eukaryota; Metazoa; Chordata; Actinopteri; Spariformes; Sparidae. The record is from RefSeq and is a predicted model, not a curated record.
AGCUCGUACAGAUUGUUCUGUUGUCGACUACAUCAUGUUGGUUCUGCGUGUGGCUGAACUCGUCCUGAUUACUGUGAUUACUGUUCUUCUCGUCAGAGCUCCAGGGAACCAGAGAGCGCCUGAUGACGACACUGUGCCUCAUGAUGGAGGCAGACAUGAGAGUGCCGCGAACUAUGAAAACAUCGGAGGACCUUCUGCUUCCGUCAACACCAACGUCAACUGACCAGAGAAUCGACUCGAAGC